Molecule: unclassified non-coding RNA, 180 nt
Organism: Chelonoidis abingdonii (Abingdon island giant tortoise)
Lineage: Eukaryota; Metazoa; Chordata; Testudines; Testudinidae
Source: Ensembl
UUGACAGGACUAGGAACUAAAAAACUCUCUUUAUAGAACAAAUGCUUCACAGCUCAGACAGUGGCAGUUCAAACUACUACACACUGGCUGGCUAAUAUUCUACAAGACUAAGCUUAAAGAAGCAAACCUCUGUCUGAGAAGGGUAGUUCAGCCUCCAUACUCAUUCAGUCUUUGGCCCCU